GUUNNUCGCGUCUNCCGUGAAAGUCCNGGGCUCAACUCCNGGAUCUGCGGUGGGUACGGGCAGACUAGAGUGAUGUAGGGGAGACUGGAAUUCCUGGUGUAGCGGUGAAAUGCGCAGAUAUCAGGAGGAACACCGAUGGCGAAGGCAGGUCUCUGGGCAUUAACUGACGCUGAGGAGCGAAAGCAUGGGGAGCGAACAGGAUUAGAUACCCUGGUAGUCCAUGCCGUAAACGUUGGGCACUAGGUGUGGGGGACAUUCCACGUUUUCCGCGCCGUAGCUAACGCAUUAAGUGCCCCGCCUGGGGAGUACGGCCGCAAGGCUAAAACUCAAAGGAAUUGACGGGGGCCCGCACAAGCGGCGGAGCAUGCGGAUUAAUUCGAUGCAACGCGAAGAACCUUACCAAGGCUUGACAUGGGCCGGACCGGGCUGGAAACAGUCCUUCCCCUUUGGGGCCGGUUCACAGGUGGUGCAUGGUUGUCGUCAGCUCGUGUCGUGAGAUGUUGGGUUAAGUCCCGCAACGAGCGCAACCCUCGUUCCAUGUUGCCAGCGCGUAAUGGCGGGGACUCAUGGGAGACUGCCGGGGUCAACUCGGAGGAAGGUGGGGACGACGUCAAAUCAUCAUGCCCCUUAUGUCUUGGGCUUCACGCAUGCUACAAUGGCCGGUACAAAGGGUUGCGAUACUGUGAGGUGGAGCUAAUCCCAAAAAGCCGGUCUCAGUUCGGAUUGGGGUCUGCAACUCGACCCCAUGAAGUCGGAGUCGCUAGUAAUCGCAGAUCAGCAACGCUGCGGUGAAUACGUUCCCGGGCCUUGUACACACCGCCCGUCAAGUCACGAAAGUUGGUAACACCCGAAGCCGGUGGCCUAACCCCUUGUGGGAGGGAGCUGUCGAAGGUGGGACUGGCGAUUGGGACUAAGUCGUAACAAGGUAGCCGUACCGGAA
This 940-nucleotide ribosomal RNA is filed under the name bacterium enrichment culture clone BasaltC_B07_E2_T3. Its description in RNAcentral is "bacterial SSU rRNA". It matches the Rfam family "Bacterial small subunit ribosomal RNA", at positions 578 to 1510 of the family's 1533-position model. The record is from RNAcentral.